This 273-nucleotide unclassified non-coding RNA is filed under the name Funneliformis mosseae. RNAcentral's name for it is "partial contains 5.8S ribosomal RNA and internal transcribed spacer 2". The stretch from base 1 to 71 matches the Rfam family "5.8S ribosomal RNA", at positions 84 to 154 of the family's 154-position model. The record is from RNAcentral. Lineage: Eukaryota; Fungi; Glomeromycota; Glomeromycetes; Glomerales; Glomeraceae.
GUGAAUCAUCGAAUCUUUGAACGCAAAUUGCACUCCUUGGUAUUCCGGGGAGCAUGCCUGUUCGAGGGUCGUUAGAAUACUAAAUCGAGGCGUCGCUCUUUUUUUGAGGGUGUUCGUGUCGGAAUUGAGCCGUCUUUACAAUGUUAAUUCAUGUCAAAGUGGUUUACAAUUCAUUCAUCCGGUACGAUUAAAACGUAUUUAAGAUCAAUUUUGUUCAAGAACGCGUGAUGACGUACUAUAUCAUGUAGUACGUUUGAACUGGGUCAUCAGGUU